Molecule: ribosomal RNA, 497 nt
Filed under: uncultured bacterium
Lineage: Bacteria
Description: partial 16S ribosomal RNA
Rfam family: Bacterial small subunit ribosomal RNA
Source: RNAcentral
GAUGAACGCUGGCGGCGUGCCUAAUACAUGCAAGUCGAGCGAACGGACGAGAAGCUUGCUUCUCUGAUGUUAGCGGCGGACGGGUGAGUAACACGUGGAUAACCUACCUAUAAGACUGGGAUAACUUCGGGAAACCGGAGCUAAUACCGGAUAAUAUUUUGAACCGCAUGGUUCAAAAGUGAAAGACGGUCUUUCUGUCACUUAUAGAUGGAUCCGCGCUGCAUUAGGUAGUUGGUAAGGUAACGGCCUACCAAGGCAACGAUGCAUGACCGACCUGAGAGGGUGAUCGGCCACACGGGAACUGAGACAGGGUCCAGACUCCUACGGGAGGCAGCAGUAGGGAAUCUUCCGCAAUGGGCGAAAGCCUGACGGAGCAACGCCGCGUGAGUGAUGAAGGUCUUCGGAUCGUAAAACUCUGUUAUUAGGGAAGAACAUAUGUGUAAGUAACUGUGCACAUCGUGACGGUACCUAAUCAGAAAGCCACGGCUAACUACGUG